Molecule: ribosomal RNA, 465 nt
Filed under: Vreelandella stevensii
Lineage: Bacteria; Pseudomonadati; Pseudomonadota; Gammaproteobacteria; Oceanospirillales; Halomonadaceae
Description: partial 16S ribosomal RNA
Rfam family: Bacterial small subunit ribosomal RNA
Source: RNAcentral
CCUACGGGUGGCUGCAGUGGGGAAUAUUGGACAAUGGGGGGAACCCUGAUCCAGCCAUGCCGCGUGUGUGAAGAAGGCCCUCGGGUUGUAAAGCACUUUCAGUGAGGAAGAACGCCUGGUGGUUAAUACCCAUCAGGAAAGACAUCACUCACAGAAGAAGCACCGGCUAACUCCGUGCCAGCAGCCGCGGUAAUACGGAGGGUGCGAGCGUUAAUCGGAAUUACUGGGCGUAAAGCGCGCGUAGGUGGCUUGAUAAGCCGGUUGUGAAAGCCCCGGGCUCAACCUGGGAACGGCAUCCGGAACUGUCAAGCUAGAGUGCAGGAGAGGAAGGUAGAAUUCCCGGUGUAGCGGUGAAAUGCGUAGAGAGCGGGAGGAAUACCAGUGGCGAAGGCGGCCUUCUGGACUGACACUGCCACUGAGGUGCGAAAGCGUGGGUAGCAAACAGGAUUAGAUACCCGUGUAGUC